GCAAUAGCUUCUUCUUUCUUCUCAACUUUCUCUUCUGGUUCAGUAUCGACUUUUUCCACCUCAUUUGGCUCGGUUUCUGUUUCUUUCUUGGUUUCAUCUGGUUUAGCUUCUGGUUCUUUGGUUUCUUCGGCCUCUGGUUGUGGCUCUGGUGCCACCUUUGCAGGUUGUUCCACAGAGCUAACCUCCUUACCUUCUUCUUUAUCUUCAUCGUUGAGCACUAACUUGGUUUCAGCCUCAACUGCAAGGGCUUCAGAUUCGGCUUCUGGUUCUGGUUCAGGAGCUACAAGUUCAGAUUCUGGUUUAGGUUGAGGUGCAACCGUGUAAGCAGGUUCUUUAGCAAGCUGGUCUUCUUCUUGUGGUGUAGUUACUGUUGUUUCUUGAUCAUUUGUGUUCUUGAUGUCGUCUUCAGGUUUCUUAAUUAGUUGAUCUUCUCUUUUCUCAUCAUGAAAUGCUGUUGUUGCGGAUACAACCUGCGUGAUUCGAAGAGUAAUCCAUUCACCGCACUAAAAAAUUGUUUGCGACCAAGCCGCUUAAAUACUUCAGUCUUUAGCUAUCUUUUUUCUAUGACCCUUACAAGGGUCGGACAUCUAAUCUUGAUUGGUGUUAAAAGAUAUAUUAAUAUAUUAUUUUGUCAUGUGGUCUCGUUAAAAAAUGUAACAGUUUUUAAAAGUUGAUAAUUCUUAAACGGACGUUAAUUAUAUUGUCGAACAAGAAGAUUGAUUAACAAGUACAAUUUAUAAAACCGAUUAGGGUUUUUAUGAAAAGAGAGAGUUACCUGAGCAGUAGCCAUUUCUUGUAGAUACAAACGCAGAGAAGAAGAAUGUGAGGAUGUUGAUUAAU
This 840-nucleotide long non-coding RNA is filed under the name Lactuca sativa (garden lettuce). Its description in RNAcentral is "long non-coding RNA (LSAT_LNC009801)". The record is from RNAcentral. Lineage: Eukaryota; Viridiplantae; Streptophyta; Magnoliopsida; Asterales; Asteraceae.